CAUCAUGGCCCUUAUGUCCAGGGCUACACACGUGCUACAAUGGGUGAGACAGAGUGACGCGAAGCCGCGAGGUGGAGCAAAUCGCAGAAAAUACAUCCGUAGUUCGGAUUGGAGUCUGAAACCCGAACCUCCAUGAAGGUGGAAUCGCUAGUAAUCGCGCAUCAGCAUGGCGCGGUGAAUACGUUCCCGGGCCUU
Molecule: ribosomal RNA, 195 nt
Filed under: uncultured Spirochaetaceae bacterium
Lineage: Bacteria; Pseudomonadati; Spirochaetota; Spirochaetia; Spirochaetales; Spirochaetaceae
Description: partial 16S ribosomal RNA
Rfam family: Bacterial small subunit ribosomal RNA
Source: RNAcentral